AGUGUAGGCGGGAUCGUAAGUUAGGAGUUUAAUACAUGGGCUUAACCCAUGAGCUGCUUUUAAUACUGCGGUUCUUGAGUAUGGGAGAGGGCGAUGGAAUUCCAGGUGUAGCGGUGGAAUGCGUAGAUAUCUGGAAGAACACCAGUAGCGAAGGCGGUCGCCUGGCCCAAUACUGACGCUGAUGCUCGAAAGCUAGGGGAGCAAACAGGAUUAGAUACCCUGGUAGUCCUAGCCGUAAACGAUGGACACUAGUUGCUGGAGGAGUCAAUCCUUUCGGUGACGAAGCUAACGCAUUAAGUGUCCCGCCUGGGGAGUACGUUCGCAAGGAUGAA
Molecule: ribosomal RNA, 332 nt
Filed under: uncultured bacterium
Lineage: Bacteria
Description: bacterial SSU rRNA
Rfam family: Bacterial small subunit ribosomal RNA
Source: RNAcentral